CCUGGCGGCACUAGCGCGGUGGUCCCACCUGACCCCAUGCCGAACUCAGAAGUGAAACGCCGUAGCGCCGAUGGUAGUGUGGGGUCUCCCCAUGUGAGAGUAGGGAAUCGCCAGGC
This 116-nucleotide ribosomal RNA is filed under the name Acinetobacter baumannii. Lineage: Bacteria; Pseudomonadati; Pseudomonadota; Gammaproteobacteria; Moraxellales; Moraxellaceae. The record is from RNAcentral. RNAcentral also lists the same sequence under 4 other names.